CAGUAGCGUAUAUUAAAGUUGUUGCGGUUAAAAAGCUCGUAGUUGGAUAUCUGCUUAGACUUGACGUAUUGAUAAUUUCAAUAUCGGACAUGACUAAGUAUACUUUGCAGACACUUUGACACUUACAUGUCUUAGUGAACGCGAAAUUUCACCUUGAGGAAAUUAGAGUGCUUAACGCAAGUAAAUCGCUUUGAAUAUUUUAGCAUGGAAUAAUAACUUAGGACUUUGUAUACAUUAAACAAUUCUGUAUUCAAAGUAAUGUAUAAUAGAGGUAGUUGGGGGCAUUCGUAUUUAACUGUCAGAGGUGAAAUUCUUGGAUUUGUUAAAGACGAACUAAUGCGAAAGCAUUUGCCGUGGAUACUCUCUUUGA
Molecule: ribosomal RNA, 370 nt
Filed under: uncultured eukaryote
Lineage: Eukaryota
Description: partial 18S ribosomal RNA
Rfam family: Eukaryotic small subunit ribosomal RNA
Source: RNAcentral